Molecule: non-coding RNA, 952 nt
Filed under: Ctenochaetus striatus (striated surgeonfish)
Lineage: Eukaryota; Metazoa; Chordata; Actinopteri; Acanthuriformes; Acanthuridae
Description: 12S ribosomal RNA
Rfam family: Bacterial small subunit ribosomal RNA
Source: RNAcentral
CAAAAGUUUGGUCCUGACUUUACUGUCAGCUUUAGCAUGAUUUACACAUGCAAGUAUCCGCAUCCCCGUGAGAAUGCCCUACAGUUUCCUGCUUGGAAACAAGGAGCUGGUAUCAGGCACACUUCUCCUUAGUAGCCCACAACACCUUGCUUAGCCACACCCUCAAGGGAUUUCAGCAGUGAUAAAUAUUAAGCUAUAAGUGAAAACUUGACUUAGUCAAUGCUAAAUAGGGCCGGUAAAACUCGUGCCAGCCACCGCGGUUAUACGAGAGACCCAAGUUGACAGACAAUCGGCGUAAAGAGUGGUUAAGUACAACAUAUCACUAAAGCCAAACACCUUCAAAGCUGUUAUACGCACCCGAAGGUCAGAAGCCCAAUCACGAAAGUGGCUUUAAACAAACUGAACCCACGAAAGCUAGGGCACAAACUGGGAUUAGAUACCCCACUAUGCCUAGCCUUAAACAUUGAUGAUAAAUUACAACUAUCAUCCGCCUGGGAACUACGAGCACCAGCUUAAAACCCAAAGGACUUGGCGGUGCUUUAGACCCACCUAGAGGAGCCUGUUCUAGAACCGAUAACCCCCGUUCAACCUCACCCUUCCUUGUUCCUCCCGCCUAUAUACCACCGUCGUCAGCUUACCCUGUGAAGGACUAAUAGUAAGCAAAACUGGCAAAGCCCAAAACGUCAGGUCGAGGUGUAGCGUAUGGAAGGGGAAGAAAUGGGCUACAUUCACUAACUCAGUGCACACGAAUGACACCCUGAAACGCGUGUCUGAAGGAGGAUUUAGCAGUAAGCAGAAAAUAGAGUGUUCUACUGAAACUGGCCCUGAAGCGCGCACACACCGCCCGUCACUCUCCCCGAGCUAAGACUCUCAAGUAAAUAAACAACUAUAACUGCAAAGGGGAGGCAAGUCGUAACAUGGUAAGUGUACCGGAAGGUGCACUUGGAAAAAC